AGGGGGCGGGGCAUCCUGUAGGAGUCCGCUGGCUUCCUGGUAGCCAGGAAGGAGCGGAGCAUAUGCGGAAGUGGGAAGCUGCGGAGGAGCUCCGGGAGCUCGGGGUCUGAAGGGAGGGAGUCCUCUCGAAGGUCCGGGUGGAGUCUCUCUCCUAAGGGCAGGGCCAGGGCCUUUGUGACUCCUGUGGAGCCUCACUCUUGUAAAUCCCUGUAGACCAGUUUGAUGCCUAGGAAGAGAAGAGCAAGACCUCUCCCCCUCUGGGAUCCUUCUCCCUGCCCAGCUCAGUCUGCAGAGGACCAAGGCCUGGCCCCAGCAGGGAGCCUGGAGCCAGAGGGAAUGGCCCCUAGGAGCAGCAGCCCUCCUCUCCAGGGGUUGGUGACAUUCAAGGACGUGGCUGUGGACUUCACCCAGGAGGAGUGGGGCCUCUUGGACCAUGCUCAAAAGGAGUUGUACGAGGGGGUCAUGCUGCAGAAUGCCCAGAACCUGCUCUCUCUGGGGCUGCCAGUUCCCAGAGAAGUCGUGAUUUCCUACUUUGAGCAAAGGGAAGCACCAUGGAUGCUGGAGCAAGAGGGCCUGAGGAGCUGCGGUCCAGAAGAAGAGAUCAGAUGGGAAAUGAAGGAAACUGCUGCAGAGCUACCCCUUUCUGUAAAAGUAACUCACAAGCAAAGAUUCAUGAGUGAUGGUCCUUCUGACUUCAGUCGGAGAGAAAUCUGCACAACACCUGAGAAUAUCCUAACUGUGGAGAAAUAUGACUGUAAACAGUGUGGAAAGGGUUUUAGAGGGAAGAGAUGUCUUAUUACACAUCAGAGAAUCCACACUGCAGAAAGACCUUAUGAAUGCAAUCAGUGCGGAAAGGCUUUUGCAUCGAAGGACAGUCUUAUUAUACAUGAGAGAAUCCACACUGGAGAGAAACCUUAUGAAUGUUUUCAAUGUGGAAAAGCUUUCAUACAGCGGGCUCAUCUUAUUAGACAUCUAACAACACACACUAGAGAGAAACUUUAUGAAUGUAAUCAUUGUGGAAAAGCUUUUCAAUCAUGGGAGAUUCUUACUCUACAUGAGAGAAUCCACACUGGAGAGAAACCUUAUGAAUGUUAUCAAUGUGGAAAAGCUUUGAAAUCAAGGGAGAGUCUUACUCGACAUCAGAGAAUCCACAGUGGAGACAAACCUUAUAAAUGUAAUCAAUGUGGAAAGGCUUUUACAUGGAAGGAUGGUCUUAUUAUACAUGAGAGAAUCCACACUGGGGAGAAACCUUAUGAAUGUUAUCAAUGUGGAAAAGCUUUUAUACAGCAGGCUCAUCUUGUUAGACAUCUGACAACACACACUAGAGAGAAACCUUAUGAAUGUAAUCAAUGUGGAAAAGCUUUGAAAUCAAGGGGCAGUCUUAUUCGACAUCACAGAAUCCACACUGGAGAGGCUUUUCAAUCAUGGGACAGUCUUACUCUACAUCAGAGAAUCCACACUGGAGAGAAACCUUAUGAAUGUAAUCAAUGUGGAAAAGCUUUGAAAUCCAGGGACAGUCUUACUCGACAUCAGAGAAUCCACACUGGAGAGAAACCAUAUGAAUGUAAUCAAUGUGGAAAAGCUUUUAAAUGGAGAGAAAGUCUUACUCUACAUCAGAGAAUCCACACUGGAGAGGAACCUUAUAAAUGUUAUCAAUGUGGAAAGACAUACAGAUGGCAGGAACGUCUUGUUGAACAUCAGAGAAUCCACACUGGAGAGAAACCUUAUAAAUGUGAUGAAUGUGGAAAGACUUUUAGAGGUAGGAGGUCUCUGCGUGAACAUCAGAAGAUCCACACAGGAGAGAAACAUUGUUAAUGUAAUCAAUGUGCAAAAGCUUUUACAAGGAAGGCUUGUCUUACUAUAUAUUAGAGAAACCACACUGGAAUAAAAUCUUAUGAAUGUGAUCAAUGUGGAAAAACUUAAAUGGUGAAACAGUCUUACUGUACAUCAGAGAAUCAACACUGGAGAGAAAAUGUAUGAAUGAAAUCAUUGUGGAAAAACUUAUACAUCUAGGGACAGUUUUCUUCAACUUCAAAAGAUCCAGAUAUGUCACCAAGGCAGUAUUCACAAUAGUUGUGAUCAUUGUAUGUCAGCAUGGUUCUGUUUAAUGAAAUAUAACAGACUCUCCACAUAGAAGACAGAAGAAGCAAAAUAUUUAUUCAAACACCAGAGAACCAAAUCCCAAAACAGAUUUUGGGUCAUCAUUCUGACUAAUGAUGUACUUCCUCCUAAUGGCCUGUUACUCAAAUUACGUAAAGCUGUGAACAAAUUAUCCUUCCAAUGUUGGUAUGGAUUAUUAGAACUUGACAAAUCUUACAGAUCUUGAACCCUUGUAUCCAAGUGAAUCAUACCUUCAAGGAGACCAGGGAAUAGGCCGAGCCCCAGCACAGAUUAAAGAAACAGACGGAAUUACAAACCGCUCAUGUUAAUCUGACUGUGUAUAGGAAAAAUCGAUCAAAUCCUGUUACUAGGGCAAUGAUGGAUACUGGGGUAGAGGCCGACCUGAUUUGUGGAAACCUUGACAGAUUUAAGCGUGGAUCUUCUAUUACCAUCACUGGACUAGGAGGGUUAUCAGCCAAACAAGUCAAACUACUGAUGAAAACUGGAAAAUUGCCUAAGAAAGAAUAUACUGUGGUCAUUAUACCCAUCCCUGAAUACAUCAUUGGAAUAGAUAUAUUGAAAGGUAUGACUCUGAAUUUGCCUGAGGGGAGAAACCAACUUGCAGUAAGGAAGAUAGGAAUCAAUACAGUUUUAGUGGGAAAAAUAAAAAUGGACGCAAUCACUUUACCUAAAACUCCUAAAGUAAUUACUUUGUAGCAGUUUUGUGUGCCAGAUGGGCAAGAUGUAAUUGCCAAUACUGUAAAGGAAUAUGUUGAAGCAGCAGUAUUAGUCUCGAAGAAGUAAUCCUCUAUGGCUAUCAUGAAAGUCAGAUGGAACAUGGAGAAUGACCGUGGACUAUAGACAGUUAAAUAAAGUGACUCCUCCCUUGUAUGCUGCUGUUCCAGAUAAUGUUACCUUCAUAGAAGUUAUCCAGAAAUAUGAGACUUGGCACGCAGGUAUUGAUUUGGGCAAUGCUUGCAUUAUGAUCCCAAUAGACUCCAAAUAGUGUGACUGGUUUGCUUUCAUGUGGCAGGGCUGAAAAUAUACUUUCACAUGCUUGACACGACAAUAUCUUCAUAGCCCAAGUAUUUGGAAUGGGAUUAUGGCUAAACAUUUAGUUGAAUUGAAGUUACCUGAUGUACAGCUUGCCCACUACAUAGAUGAUAUUUUCAUACAGUUAGAAACUAAAAGAAGUGGAGAAGAGUUUGAUACUUUUAUUUCUGUGUAUGAAAAGCAAAUGAUGGGAAAUUAACCUUAAAAGAUUCAAGGCCCAGCUCAAACUGUAAAAUUUUGGGGUAUUCAAUGGAAUAAAGGA
This is an RNA transcript of Trichosurus vulpecula (common brushtail), 3415 nucleotides long. It is a transcript of the gene named zinc finger protein OZF-like, with no coding region annotated. Lineage: Eukaryota; Metazoa; Chordata; Mammalia; Diprotodontia; Phalangeridae. The transcript is spliced from 6 exons. The record is from RefSeq and is a predicted model, not a curated record.